Molecule: ribosomal RNA, 882 nt
Filed under: uncultured Candidatus Saccharibacteria bacterium
Lineage: Bacteria; Candidatus Saccharimonadota
Description: bacterial SSU rRNA
Rfam family: Bacterial small subunit ribosomal RNA
Source: RNAcentral
GUAGGUGGCAGAGUAUGUCUGUAGUGAAAGCGUGUGGCUCAACCAUAUACACAUUACAGAAACUGCUCAGCUAGAGGGCGAGAGAGGUUACUAGAAUUCCUAGUGUAGGAGUGAAAUCCGUAGAUAUUAGGAGGAAUACCGAUGGCGCAGGCAGGUAACUGGCUCGUCCCUGACACUAAGGCACGAAAGCGUGGGUAGCAAACGGGAUUAGAUACCCCGGUAGUCCACGCCGUAAACGAUGGAUGCCAGCUGUAAGAGGUAUCGACCCCUCUUGUAGCGAAGCUAACGCGUUAAGCAUCCCGCCUGUGGAGUACGGUCGCAAGACUAAAACAUAAAGGAAUUGACGGGGACCCGCACAAGCGGUGGAGCGUGUUGUUUAAUUCGAUGGUAAACGAAGAACCUUACCCAGGUUUGACAUCCUUGGAAUUUUGCCGAAAGGCGAGAGUGCUUUAUUGAGCCAAGUGACAGGUGUUGCAUGGCCGUCGUCAGCUCGUGUCGUGAGAUGUUUGGUUAAGUCCAUCAACGAGCGCAACCCUUAUAGUCUGUUGUAUUUUUCAGGCUAGACUGCCCCGGUAACGGGGAGGAAGGAGGGGAUGAUGUCAGGUCAGUAUUGCCCUUACGUCCUGGGCUAGAAACGCGCUACAAUGGCCGGUACAACGCGAUGCCAACCCGCAAGGGGGAGCAAAUCGCAUCAAAGCCGGUCCCAGUUCAGAUUGCAGGCUGAAACUCGCCUGCAUGAAGUCGGAAUCGCUAGUAAUCGCAGAUCAGCACGCUGCGGUGAAUACGUUCCCGGGUCUUGUACACACCGCCCGUCAAACCAUGAAAGUGACCAACACCCGAAGUCCGAUUCGUCGGCCUAAGGUGGGGGGCAUGAUUGGGGUU